This 360-nucleotide ribosomal RNA is filed under the name Lamproderma echinosporum. RNAcentral's name for it is "bacterial SSU rRNA". It matches the Rfam family "Eukaryotic small subunit ribosomal RNA", at positions 80 to 350 of the family's 1831-position model. The record is from RNAcentral. Lineage: Eukaryota; Evosea; Eumycetozoa; Stemonitida; Stemonitidae.
UCUGAAUCUGCGUACGGCUCCGCAAACCAGUUGUAAACUACAGCAAGCAAGCACGGGGGGUUGGCCUUCACGGGUCGGUCCCUCGGGCGAUAUGGAUAACCCUGGUAAUUCUGAGGCUAAUACAAGAACGUAACCCCUGGCUGACUGAGCCCUCGCCCUCGGGUGGGGAUACUUGGGAGGCUGGGAAGCGUGCGAGUACUAAUGCGAAUGAGAACCGGGAAUGGGCGCACGCUUGGACCGCGCUACAAAGGAUCAUUACUCGGCAAUCCCUCCGGGGUGCGCUUUGUUUUGGCCCUAGCGGCUCUUGCGGUGUGCUUCUGACCUAUCAACUAGACGGCAGCGUAACGGACAUGCUAUGGU